CCUUAAACCUAGUUGGAGCCUA
Molecule: non-coding RNA, 22 nt
Filed under: Arabidopsis thaliana (thale cress)
Lineage: Eukaryota; Viridiplantae; Streptophyta; Magnoliopsida; Brassicales; Brassicaceae
Source: RNAcentral